Molecule: ribosomal RNA, 245 nt
Filed under: uncultured bacterium
Lineage: Bacteria
Description: partial small subunit ribosomal RNA
Rfam family: Bacterial small subunit ribosomal RNA
Source: RNAcentral
AGAAUCAAUGCUGGCGGCGUGCCUAACACAUGCAAGUCGAACGAGAAAGUGGAGCAAUCCAUGAGUAAAGUGGCGCACGGGUGAGUAACACGUGACUAACCUACCCUUGAGUGGGGGAUAACCUAGGGAAACCUGGGCUAAUACCGCAUAAUACCUUCGGGUCAAAGGAGCAAUUCGCUUUAGGAGGGGGUCGCGGCCGAUUAGUUAGUUGGCGGGGUAAUGGCCCACCAAGACGAUGAUCGGUA